RNAcentral lists this ribosomal RNA (482 nucleotides) under uncultured bacterium. RNAcentral describes it as "bacterial SSU rRNA". It matches the Rfam family "Bacterial small subunit ribosomal RNA", at positions 29 to 506 of the family's 1533-position model. The record is from RNAcentral.
AUGAACGCUAGCGGCAGGCUUAAUACAUGCAAGUCGAACGGUAACAUGAGUAGCAAUACUUGAUGACGAGUGGCGCACGGGUGCGUAACGCGUAUGCAAUCUACCUUCAACUGGUGAAUAGCCCGAAGAAAUUCGGAUUAACGCACCAUAGUAUAUUAGAGUGGCAUCACUUUAAUAUUAAAACUCCGGUGGUUGAAGAUGAGCAUGCGUGACAUUAGCUUGUUGGUGAGGUAACGGCUCACCAAGGCAACGAUGUCUAGGGGAUCUGAGAGGAUUAACCCCCACACUGGUACUGAGACACGGACCAGACUCCUACGGGAGGCAGCAGUAAGGAAUAUUGGACAAUGGUCGCAAGACUGAUCCAGCCAUGCCGCGUGAAGGAUGAAGGCCCUAUGGGUUGUAAACUUCUUUUGUACGGGAAAAAACCCCUCUACGUGUAGAGGGCUGAUUGUACCGUAAGAAUAAGGAUCGGCUAACUCCGU